RNAcentral lists this long non-coding RNA (705 nucleotides) under Chinchilla lanigera (long-tailed chinchilla). RNAcentral describes it as "lncRNA (ENSCLAG00000028822.1)". The record is from RNAcentral. Lineage: Eukaryota; Metazoa; Chordata; Mammalia; Rodentia; Chinchillidae.
UUCCUAAUGUCCUACAGGGAGACUGAAAAAUCUGAGAAGGAUCAAACCUUCCCCAAAGCUGCUUGGAUUAGAAGCAGAGAUGAGAAAGUCUUUCCAUAUUAGUUCCACAAGAUAGUAGAAUAGAUCUGGAAGCUUAGCGAUCCCCUUAUGUCUGCUCUAACCCAGUUAAACCUGAGUGCAAUAACAUUGAUCUUUGGGAUUGAUUAGGAUAAUUUGGCUUGCCAGAUAAUAUUUCCCCUACCCUAGUCCUAAGCAUUUGUAAAGGACUAGCAUCAAAGACAGUGAGGAAUUAUCCCUUAAUAUCUUUCAUCUCUAAGUAUCUUUUCAGAAGCUACAGUCUGAAUGGGUGUGAACAAGCUGGGCUCUUGUGUUUGCUGAGGACAGACCUUGUGUCUUAUGAACAGUUCAUCCCAGUUCCAAGCAAACUGCCUGAACCACAGCCAGUCACUUGCUGUAUGAAGGAGUAAACUAAUGAAAGAACUGACAGCUUUGUAAACCUACGUGUGUCCAGCAAAGAGGAAGACCAGAACAGAGUGGUGCAAUGGUGGUGAAAGGGGCUGGACUGGUCUCCUUAUUCAGCAACAGUCCUGGACUACUUAGUUUUCUUGAGCAAGAUGGACCAAAUGAUAUUCAAGUUAAUUGCAGGGGGAAUACAGUAUCUCACCUCCAUAAAUGACCUACUUCCUAGUUAUUUGAACUCCUCCC